GAUGAAGAACGCAGCGAAAUGCGAUAAGUAAUGUGAAUUGCAGAAUUCAGUGAAUCAUCGAAUCUUUGAACGCACAUUUCGCCCGCCAGUAUUCUGGCGGGCAUGCCUGUCCGAGCGUCAUUUCAACCCUCAAGCCCCCGGGCUUGGUGUUGGAGAUCGGCGAGCCCCCCGGGGCGCGCCGUCUCCCAAAUAUAGUGGCGGUCCCGCUGUAGCUUCCUCUGCGUAGUAGCACACCUCGCACUGGGAAACAGCGUGGCCACGCCGUAAAACCCCCCACUUCUGAAAGGUUGACCUCGGAUCAGGUAGGAAUACCCGCUGAACUUAAGCAUAUCAAUAAGCGGAGGA
This 345-nucleotide unclassified non-coding RNA is filed under the name soil metagenome. Its description in RNAcentral is "partial contains 5.8S ribosomal RNA, internal transcribed spacer 2, and large subunit ribosomal RNA". The stretch from base 1 to 120 matches the Rfam family "5.8S ribosomal RNA", at positions 35 to 154 of the family's 154-position model. The record is from RNAcentral.